This 357-nucleotide ribosomal RNA is filed under the name uncultured bacterium. RNAcentral describes it as "partial 16S ribosomal RNA". It matches the Rfam family "Bacterial small subunit ribosomal RNA", at positions 338 to 692 of the family's 1533-position model. The record is from RNAcentral.
CCUACGGGAGGCUGCAGUGAGGAAUAUUGGUCAAUGGGCGUAAGCCUGAACCAGCCAAGCCGCGUGUGGGAUGAAGGCUCUAUGGAUCGUAAACCUCUUUUAUAAGGGGAUAAAGUGCGGGACGUGUCCCGUUUUGUAUGUACCUUAUGAAUAAGGAUCGGCUAACUCCGUGCCAGCAGCCGCGGGAAUACGGAGGAUCCGAGCGUUAUCCGGAUUUAUUGGGUUUAAAGGGUGCGUAGGCGGACUGGUAAGUCAGCGGUGAAAUUCCGGGGCUCAACCCUGGAAUUGCCGUUGAAACUGGUAGGCUUAAGUAUGUUUGAGGGGGGCGGAAAGCGAGGGGUAGCGGUGAAAUGCUUA